This 253-nucleotide ribosomal RNA is filed under the name uncultured bacterium. Its description in RNAcentral is "partial 16S ribosomal RNA". It matches the Rfam family "Bacterial small subunit ribosomal RNA", at positions 524 to 776 of the family's 1533-position model. The record is from RNAcentral.
UACAGAGGUCUCGAGCGUUAGGCGGAAUCACUGGGCUUAAAGCGUGUGUAGGCGGAUCGGUAAGUACCUUGUGAAAUCCCACAGCUUAACUGUGGAACUGCUUGGUAUACUGCCGGUCUUGAGCCAGCUAGGGGCUACCGGAACAAAUGGUGGAGCGGUGAAAUGCGUAGAUAUCAUUUGGAACGCCAAUGGUGAAAACAGGUAGCUGGGGCUGGGCUGACGCUGAGACACGAAAGCCAGGGGAGCAAACAGG